GAGGACCCGGGGACCUGGUGGGGUUUGCGCUGCUGCUAGCGGAGGCGGGCGCUUCGGGGCCCCCACCUCUCCGGGGCGAUUCCUGGCUCAAGAAGAAAUGGAAGCAUACUGCCCAUGAAAUUUUGGACAUGGUUUUUUAACAAUAUUACGGGAAAACGUUUCCAGUAAUCGUUCAUUUACAAAAUUUGUGUUCUUGCCACUUUUUGCUUGGCUUGUCCGAUGCUGCUGAUUUGGCACCGUGGCAGCGCCUGCAGAGCACCUGGGGAGCCUUUAAAAUCGCUAACGUCUGGCCCCACCCACUGAUUCAGGGCUAUUGAUGUAGUUCGACUGCAGAGCAAACCGCGUCUCCUGAGGCGCCAGGACCCAUUUUUCUUUCUGGGAAAACCCGAGUAAUAUCCCACUAUAUGGAUAUUUCACAUGUUUUGAUUAUCCAUUUAUCCAUUGAUGGACACUUGAGUUGCUUCAACCUUUGGGCAAUUGUGAAUGAGUCUGCUAUGAACAUUGGUGUACAAGGAUCCGUUUGAGUCCCUACUUUCAAUUCCUUGGAUAUAUAUCUAAGACUGGAAUUGUCAGGUCACAUGCCGAUGCAUAGUCUGUCCAGGACUCCAGCAUUCCCGAGGGCCUUGCAAGGUGGGCAGCCUCCGGCCCAGGGCUCGCCCCUCCGGACCCACCCCUCCGCCCUGAGACUUCAGUGGUCGCCCCCAGAGAGCUCAGCGCGCCUUAAACCCUCCGUCAACCCCUUCUGGUGGCUUCCUUCUGCGGAAAGGCGCCCCGUUGAAAUCCACCCUGAUAUCG
This is a long non-coding RNA of Choloepus didactylus (southern two-toed sloth), 795 nucleotides long. RefSeq lists it as uncharacterized. NCBI's taxonomy places the organism in Eukaryota, Metazoa, Chordata, Mammalia, Pilosa, Megalonychidae. The transcript has 5 exons. The record is from RefSeq and is a predicted model, not a curated record.